RNAcentral lists this transfer RNA (74 nucleotides) under Camelus bactrianus (Bactrian camel). It matches the Rfam family "tRNA". From Rfam's summary of the family: Transfer RNA (tRNA) molecules are approximately 80 nucleotides in length. Their secondary structure includes four short double-helical elements and three loops (D, anti-codon, and T loops). RNAcentral also lists the same sequence under 2 other names. Lineage: Eukaryota; Metazoa; Chordata; Mammalia; Artiodactyla; Camelidae. The record is from Rfam by way of RNAcentral.
GAGGGUAUAGCUCAAAGUGGUAGAGCACAAGAUUAGCAUGCACGAGGCCCUGAGUUCAAUUCCCAGUACCUCCU